RNAcentral lists this ribosomal RNA (2633 nucleotides) under Triticum aestivum (bread wheat). RNAcentral describes it as "partial small subunit ribosomal RNA". Lineage: Eukaryota; Viridiplantae; Streptophyta; Magnoliopsida; Poales; Poaceae. The record is from RNAcentral.
CUUUCUGCAGCAUCAAACCGGAGGGGAAAGGCAGGAGGAGCGGGAGGAGCAGCAGGCGGAGGAGAUGUCGGAAUCGGAAUCGCGGGGGCGCGCCGACGCAAUGUGAGCGAGGAGGAGGUGCUGGGGAAGAAGAAGAAGAGGAGGAGGAGGACGACGAAGCCGCGAUCCCGGUCUCGCGCUCCCUUCCCCCGACGAGCCGCCCGUCCGCGGCCCCGCGAGAAAUGCACAGGAUGGCGCUUCCUAGCUGGAGUGACAUUUCGGCCUACCUGUCAGAGUAUUGGUCUGUCGUAGCUGCCACUGUCAUCUUUGCAUUGGUAGGUGGCGUGACAAUUUAUUAUACCAUCAAUCAGUUGAACAAAAAUAUCAGCUUGAGCUUGAUGAAAGCUAUCAGAGCAAGGGCAAAGAAGUACAAGAAACUGAAAGACAAGGUCCCUGCCGCUUCCCACAUCUGGAGGAAAGAACCUGGCUCUCGCAGUAAAGGUCUGAAAUGCUGUGUAUGCUUGAAGUCUGUUUCACCGCCACAGUAUUUGGGGGGGACUAUCCAUCAGUGUGAUAUUUGUGGUGCCACUGCACAUCCUAGUUGCUCAGGGAAUGCACACAAAGAUUGCAAAUGCGUUUCUAUGGUUGGCCUUGACCAUGUCAUUCACCAGUGGGCUGUCCAGUGGAUUGACACAGCUGAUCGCUCUGAAGAAGACUCAUUCUGUUGCUACUGUGAUGAAUCUUGCAGUGGAGCUUUUCUCGGAGGGUCUCCAAUUUGGUACUGUAUGUGGUGUCAACGGAUAGUGCAUGUUGAUUGCCACAACAACUUAGCCAAGGAAACUGGUGAUGUCUGUGACUUAGGCCCAUUGAAACGGCUGAUACUAUCACCUCUGUGUGUCAAGGAGCUUCAUAGGACAGGUGCAACAGGACUUUUCAGUUCUAUCACAAGUGGGGCUAAUGAAUUGGCUUCCACUGUGCGGGAGACGAUUAGGAUUCGUAGCAAAAGGUACAAAAAGAACAUUGGUUCUUCUCAGCCAGAGAGCCCUGGGACUGCUGAGCCACAAUCUGAUACUGACGGAGACUCAGAAGGAUCAAACAACACUGCUAAGAGAGAUGAUCAUGUCAAUGGUAAACUUCAUGAAGUGCAUCAAAGCACUGAAUCAGAAAAAGACAAACAGUUCAUAGCGGAUACUGCUACUAGCAGGCCAAAUGGCCAACAUGAGAUGUCCCAUGCCCAGAAUAAUCAAAAAUAUGAAAUUGUGGACGUGCCUUCUGAUUCUAGGCCAUUGCUAGUUUUCAUUAACAAGAGAAGUGGUGCCCAGAGUGGCGAUUCACUGAGACAGCGCCUGCAGAUCCUUCUUAAUCCUUUACAGGUAUUUGAGUUGGGCAAGCAUCAAGGACCAGAAGUUGGUUUAUCUUUGUUUCGGAAGGUACCUCACUUCAAAAUUCUUGUUUGUGGUGGUGAUGGCACGGCUGGUUGGGUUUUGGAUGCCAUUGAGAAACAAAAGUUUGAAGCGCCACCUCCCGUAGCCAUCCUUCCAGCUGGUACUGGCAACGAUCUUGCGAGGGUUUUGUCUUGGGGUGGUGGUCUUGGUGUUGUUGAAAAACGGGGAGGUUUAUUCUCAGUUUUGAAAGAUGUCGAGCAUGCGGCAGUUACUGUUCUGGACAGAUGGAAGAUCACUAUAAAGGACAAUCAAGGGAAGCUCAUGUCUUCACCAAAAUUUAUGAACAACUACUUUGGGGUUGGUUGUGAUGCAAAGGUUGCUCUAGAUAUCCACAACCUGAGGGAGGAAAACCCUGAACGGUUUUAUAGCCAGUUCAUGAAUAAAGUGCUUUAUGCAAAAGAAGGCGCAAAGAAUAUCAUGGAUAACAUGUUCUAUUAUUUUCCUUGGGAAGUCAAGCUUGAGAUAGAUGGAUCUAACAUUGAAAUUCCUCAGGAUGCCGAAGGUAUCCUUGUGGCCAACAUCCGGAGCUACAUGGGAGGGGUUGACCUGUGGAAGAAUGAGGAUAGUGUCUCCGACACUUUCCAACCUCAAUCCAUGCAUGACAAGACGCUGGAAGUAGUUAGCUUCACAGGAAUGCUGCAUCUUGGAAGGCUGCAGGUAGGGCUUUCUCGCGCGCAAAGGUUGGCUCAAGGGCAUCAUAUAAAGAUUGAGAUCACUACUCCGAUGCCCAUCCAAGUCGAUGGAGAGCCAUGGUCUCAGGAGCCAUGCACCAUAGAAGUUUCUCAUCACGCCCAGGCCUUCAUGCUGAAGAGAGUCUCCGAAGAGCCUAUAAGCCACGCCGCGUCCAUAAUGGCUGACAUCCUGGAGAACGCCGAGAACAGCGGUACCAUCUCAGCCUCGCAGAAGAGUGCUCUGCUUCAGGAGAUAGCGUCUAGGCUUUUGUAGCAAACUCUGCGCAACACGGUCUUGUAGCUCUGUAGUCCCCUAUAGCAUUUGACCAUGUCUGGCCCCUUUUGUACAUACAGCCAUGGCUUCCUUCCUUCUUGGAUCGAGCUUGUGUAUAAUUUCUGUAAAAUUUUGUAGGGCUUUGAGUUUGAGAUGAGCACUACCAGAGACUAUUAUGGUUACUGGUUAGCCUAAUUCUUGGUGACUCUGGGGAAUGUCUUCUCACUCGCUUGUUUGGCUUGUUAGGUAAAGACGAUGAUUCAG